Molecule: ribosomal RNA, 491 nt
Filed under: uncultured bacterium
Lineage: Bacteria
Description: partial 16S ribosomal RNA
Rfam family: Bacterial small subunit ribosomal RNA
Source: RNAcentral
AGUGAACGCUGGCGGUAGGCCUAACACAUGCAAGUCGAACGGCAGCACAGUAAGAGCUUGCUCUUACGGGUGGCGAGUGGCGGACGGGUGAGGAAUACAUCGGAAUCUACUUUUUCGUGGGGGAUAACGUAGGGAAACUUACGCUAAUACCGCAUACGACCUACGGGUGAAAGCAGGGGAUCUUCGGACCUUGCGCGAUUGAAUGAGCCGAUGUCGGAUUAGCUAGUUGGCGGGGUAAAGGCCCACCAAGGCGACGAUCCGUAGCUGGUCUGAGAGGAUGAUCAGCCACACUGGAACUGAGACACAGUCCAGACUCCUACGGGAGGCAGCAGUGGGGAAUAUUGGACAAUGGGCGCAAGCCUGAUCCAGCCAUACCGCGUGGGUGAAGAAGGCCUUCGGGUUGUAAAGCCCUUUUGUUGGGAAAGAAAAGCAGCAGGUUAAUACCCCGCUGUUCUGACGGUACCCAAAGAAUAAGCACCGGCUAACUUCGU